RNAcentral lists this long non-coding RNA (532 nucleotides) under Taeniopygia guttata (zebra finch). RNAcentral's name for it is "lncRNA (ENSTGUG00000023656.1)". The record is from RNAcentral. Lineage: Eukaryota; Metazoa; Chordata; Aves; Passeriformes; Estrildidae.
CGAUAACCCCGCCCACCGUUACGUCAUCGCGUGGCCCCGCCCCCCGCCACGCGUUCCCGCGGUUCCGGCCCGAGCCGCCAUGGCCGAGGUCGCGCCCCCCCCUCAGGAGCCGCCGGGGGCCGAGAGCGACCCCAGAGGGGGGCUGGGCAGGCUGUCCCCCCCCGGCUGGGCCUGGCGCUGGCUCGGGGCCUUGGGGCAGUUUUGGGGCAGUUUUAGGGUGGAUUUUGGGGUGGAUUUUGGGUGGAUUUGGGGCAGUUUUGGGGCCGGGGUUUUAUGGGUGAAUUUGUGGGAUUUUUGGGGUGAAUUUUGUGAAUUUGGGGUCUCCCCCAGGCUGUCCCCCCCCGGCUGGGCCUGGUGCUGGCUCGGGGCCUUGGGGCAGUUUUAGGGUGGAUUUUGGGGGAAUUUGGGGCAGUUUUGGGGCAGUUUUGGGGUGUAGGAUUCCCGGGUGUAUUUGGGGUUUUUAGGGGGGAAUUUUGGGGUAAAUUUCUGGGAUUUUGGGUCCCCCCCAGGCUGUCCCCCCCGGCUGGGCCUG